AGAGUUUGAUCAUGGCUCAGGAUGAACGCUGGCGGUAUGCCUAACACAUGCAAGUCGAACGGUGUCUUCGGACAUAGUGGCGGACGGGUGAGUAACGCGUGAGAAUCUGCCUUCAGGAUGGGGACAACAGUUGGAAACGACUGCUAAUACCCGAUAUGACGAAAGUUGAAAGAUUUAUCGCCUGGAGAUGAGCUCGCGUCAGAUUAGCUAGAUGGUGUGGUAAAGGCGCACCAUGGCGACGAUCUGUAGCUGGUCUGAGAGGAUGAGCAGCCACACUGGGACUGAGACACGGCCCAGACUCCUACGGGAGGCAGCAGUGGGGAAUUUUCCGCAAUGGGCGCAAGCUGACGGAGCAAUACCGCGUGAGGGAGGAAGGCUCUUGGGUCGUAAACCUCUUUUCUUAGGGAAGAACAAAAUGACGGUACCUAAGGAAUCAGCAUCGGCUAACUCCGUGCCAGCAGCCGCGGUAAUACGGAGGAUGCAAACGUUAUCCGGAAUGAUUGGGCGUAAAGCGUCCGUAGUGGUUUUGUAAGUCCGUGGUUAAAGCGCGAAGCUUAACUUCGUAAGGGCCAUGGAAACUACAAGACUUGAGUGAAGUAGGGGUAGAGGGAAUUCCCAGUGUAGCGGUGAAAUGCGUAGAGAUUGGGAAGAACACCGGUGGCGAAAGCGCUCUACUGGACUUAAACUGACACUGAGGGACGAAAGCUAGGGGAGCGAAAGGGAUUAGAUACCCUGUAGUCCUAGCCGUAAACGAUGGAUACUAGGUGUUGCCCGUAUCGACCCGGGCAGUGCCGUAGCUAACGCGUUAAGUAUCCCGCCUGGGAGU
RNAcentral lists this ribosomal RNA (826 nucleotides) under uncultured cyanobacterium. RNAcentral describes it as "bacterial SSU rRNA". It matches the Rfam family "Bacterial small subunit ribosomal RNA", at positions 9 to 873 of the family's 1533-position model. The record is from RNAcentral. Lineage: Bacteria; Bacillati; Cyanobacteriota.